GUGGGGAAUAUUGGACAAUGGGCGAAAGCCUGAUCCAGCCAUGCCGCGUGUGUGAAGAAGGUCUUCGGAUUGUAAAGCACUUUAAGUUGGGGGGAAGGGCAGUAAGUUAAUACCUUGCUGUUUUGACGUUACCGACAGAAUAAGCACCGGCUAACUUCGUGCCAGCAGCCGCGGUAAUACGAAGGGUGCAAGCGUUAAUCGGAAUUACUGGGCGUAAAGCGCGCGUAGGUGGUUUUGUAAGUUGGAGGUGAAAUCCCCGGGCUCAACCUGGGAACUGCCUUCAAAACUGCAUGACUAGAGUACGGUAGAGGGUAGUGGAAUUUCCUGUGUAGCGGUGAAAUGCGUAGAUAUAGGAAGGAACACCAGUGGCGAAGGCGACUACCUGGACUGAUACUGACACUGAGGUGCGAAAGCGUGGGGAGCAAACAGGAUUAGAUACCCUAGUAGUCC
This 450-nucleotide ribosomal RNA is filed under the name uncultured bacterium. Its description in RNAcentral is "partial 16S ribosomal RNA". It matches the Rfam family "Bacterial small subunit ribosomal RNA", at positions 354 to 796 of the family's 1533-position model. The record is from RNAcentral.